AGCCUCAACACUAGAACAGGAGGGUAGGGGAGAACCUGAAACACAGGGUUUAAUUUACAUGAACUAAAGCAUGGCACCAGGACAGAAGCGGCUCCGUGUCCAACCUCUGAGGAGCUCGGCACACUCACAGUUGAAGGUGAUCCAUCAGGAGGGCGGCCAUGGCGCGCGCAGUCCAUUAUCACCAAAUUUGUUGUCCGUGUCAGACAGCAGGUACGAUUCGAUAUCAUGCAAGACAGGACGGUAUUGACUGUUAUACAAGCUGCUUGGCUGGCUGCGCUGCUGGCUUCCGGCUGCUGCUUUUGCCUGUUGGCUGCAGCUACUGCUUUGCAGCUGCC
This 335-nucleotide long non-coding RNA is filed under the name Setaria italica (foxtail millet). RNAcentral describes it as "long non-coding RNA (SITA_LNC003855)". Lineage: Eukaryota; Viridiplantae; Streptophyta; Magnoliopsida; Poales; Poaceae. The record is from RNAcentral.